AAUCAACGCUGGCGGCGUGCCUAACACAUGCAAGUCGCACGAGAAAGGGGAGCAAUCCCUGAGUAAAGUGGCGCACGGGUGAGUAACACGUGAAUUAUCUACCUCCGAGUGGGGAAUAACUGAGAGAAAUCUUAGCUAAUACCGCAUAACACUUACGAGUCAAAGCAGCAAUGCGCUUGGAGAGGAGUUCGCGGCAGAUUAGUUAGUUGGCGGGGUAAUGGCCCACCAAGACGAUGAUCUGUAUCCGGCCUGAGAGGGCGCACGGACACACUGGAACUGAAACACGGUCCAGACUCCUACGGGAGGCAGCAGUGGGGAAUUUUGCGCAAUGGGGGAAACCCGUGACGCAGCAACGCCGCGUGGAGGAUGAAAUAUCUUGUA
RNAcentral lists this ribosomal RNA (381 nucleotides) under uncultured bacterium. Its description in RNAcentral is "bacterial SSU rRNA". It matches the Rfam family "Bacterial small subunit ribosomal RNA", at positions 32 to 423 of the family's 1533-position model. The record is from RNAcentral.